UCCGGUUUGUCACCGGCAGUCUCCUUAGAGUUCCCACCAUUACGUGCUGGCAAAUAAGGACAAGGGUUGCGCUCGUUACGGGACUUAACCCAACAUCUCACGACACGAGCUGACGACAGCCAUGCAGCACCUGUCACUCGGUUCCCGAAGGCACCCCUCCAUUUCUGGAGGGUUCCGAGGAUGUCAAGACCUGGUAAGGUUCUUCGCGUUGCGUCGAAUUAAACCACAUGCUCCACCGCUUGUGCGGGCCCCCGUCAAUUCAUUUGAGUUUUAAUCUUGCGACCGUACUCCCCAGGCGGUCAACUUAGCGCGUUAGCUACGCCACUAGAGGGACAAGCCCUCCAACGGCUAGUUGACAUCGUUUACGGCGUGGACUAC
This 378-nucleotide unclassified non-coding RNA is filed under the name uncultured Gammaproteobacteria bacterium. RNAcentral describes it as "contains 16S-23S intergenic spacer region". Lineage: Bacteria; Pseudomonadati; Pseudomonadota; Gammaproteobacteria. The record is from RNAcentral.